Molecule: ribosomal RNA, 544 nt
Rfam family: 5.8S ribosomal RNA (bases 166-319)
UAGCGAGCCCACCUCCCACCCGUGUUUACUGUACCUUAGUUGCUUCGGCGGGCCCGCCAUUCGUGGCCGCCGGGGGCUCUCAGCCCCGGGCCCGCGCCCGCCGGAGACACCACGAACUCUGUCUGAUCUAGUGAAGUCUGAGUUGAUUGUAUCGCAAUCAGUUAAAACUUUCAACAAUGGAUCUCUUGGUUCCGGCAUCGAUGAAGAACGCAGCGAAAUGCGAUAACUAGUGUGAAUUGCAGAAUUCCGUGAAUCAUCGAGUCUUUGAACGCACAUUGCGCCCCCUGGUAUUCCGGGGGGCAUGCCUGUCCGAGCGUCAUUGCUGCCCAUCAAGCACGGCUUGUGUGUUGGGUCGUCGUCCCCUCUCCGGGGGGGACGGGCCCCAAAGGCAGCGGCGGCACCGCGUCCGAUCCUCGAGCGUAUGGGGCUUUGUCACCCGCUCUGUAGGCCCGGCCGGCGCUUGCCGAACGCAAAUCAAUCUUUUUCCAGGUUGACCUCGGAUCAGGUAGGGAUACCCGCUGAACUUAAGCAUAUCAAUAAGCGG